RNAcentral lists this ribosomal RNA (592 nucleotides) under uncultured Methanosaeta sp. Its description in RNAcentral is "bacterial SSU rRNA". It matches the Rfam family "Archaeal small subunit ribosomal RNA", at positions 83 to 679 of the family's 1478-position model. Lineage: Archaea; Methanobacteriati; Methanobacteriota; Methanomicrobia; Methanotrichales; Methanotrichaceae. The record is from RNAcentral.
CGGCUCAGUAACACGUGGAUAACCUACCCUUGAGACGGGGAUAAACCCGGGAAACUGGGUAUAAUACCCGAUAGAUCUCGACUGCUGGAAUGCAUCGAGCUUGAAAGCUCCGGCGCUCAAGGAUGGGUCUGCGGCCUAUCAGGUAGUAGUGGGUGUAGCGUACCUACUAGCCUACGACGGGUACGGGUUGUGAGAGCAAGAGCCCGGAGAUGGAUUCUGAGACACGAAUCCAGGCCCUACGGGGUGCAGCAGGCGCGAAAACUUUACAAUGCUGGAAACAGCGAUAAGGGGACCUCGAGUGCCAGGUUACAAAUCUGGCUGUCGUGAUGCCUAAAAAGCAUUGCAUAGCAAGGGCCGGGCAAGACCGGUGCCAGCCGCCGCGGUAACACCGGCGGCUCGAGUGGUAACCGUUAUUAUUGGGUCUAAAGGGUCUGUAGCCGGCCGGAUAAGUCUCUUGGGAAAUCUGGCAGCUUAACUGUCAGGCUUUCAGGAGAUACUGUCUGGCUCGAGGCCGGGAGAGGUGAGAGGUACUUCAGGGGUAGGGGUGAAAUCUUGUAAUCCUUGAAGGACCACCAGUGGCGAAGGCGUCUCA